GACGAACGCUGGCGGCGUGGAUUAGGCAUGCAAGUCGAACGGUAUCAUCCUUUCGGGGGUGAGAGAGUGGCGAACUGGUGAGUAACACGUAGGUUAUCUACCCUCAAGACGGGGACAACCCAGGGAAACUUGGGCUAAUACCGGAUGUGAGCAACUUUUAGUUGUUUGAAAGGUGGCGUAAGCUGUCGCUUGGGGAUGAGCCUGCGUCCUAUUAGUUAGUUGGUGAGGUAACGGCUCACCUAGGCAAUGAUAGGUAGGCGGCCUUAACGGGUGGUCGCCCACACUGGGAUUGAGAUACGGCCCAGACUCCUACGGGAGGCAGCAGUCGAGAAUAGUCUACAAUGGUCGGAAGACUGAUAGUGCGACGCCGCGUGAACGAUGAAUCCCUUCGGGGUGUAAAGUUCUUUUAUAUGUGAGCAGUGCUUUCUUAUAUUAACAGUAUGGGGAGAGAGAUAUUAGCAUAUGAAUAAGCAACGGCUAACUCCGUGCCAGCAGCCGCGGUAAUA
RNAcentral lists this ribosomal RNA (506 nucleotides) under uncultured bacterium. RNAcentral's name for it is "bacterial SSU rRNA". It matches the Rfam family "Bacterial small subunit ribosomal RNA", at positions 28 to 525 of the family's 1533-position model. The record is from RNAcentral.